GCGGGCGUGGCGGAAUGGUAGACGCAUGGGACUUAAACUCCCUGGAGCCUGGCUCGUGCGGGUUCAAGUCCCGCCGCCCGUACCA
This 85-nucleotide transfer RNA is filed under the name Paracoccus subflavus. Its description in RNAcentral is "Paracoccus sp. GY0581 tRNA-Leu". It matches the Rfam family "tRNA". Rfam says of the family: Transfer RNA (tRNA) molecules are approximately 80 nucleotides in length. Their secondary structure includes four short double-helical elements and three loops (D, anti-codon, and T loops). Lineage: Bacteria; Pseudomonadati; Pseudomonadota; Alphaproteobacteria; Rhodobacterales; Paracoccaceae. The record is from RNAcentral.